UGGACUGUAUUCUUAUGAAAUAGUACCACAUACAAUGUUUUUUAAUAUCCUUUUAUAGCUUAUAUCCGUAAGGAAUGGGACUUUGGG
Non-coding RNA from Eubacterium sp. CAG:581, 87 nucleotides. Lineage: Bacteria; Bacillati; Bacillota; Clostridia; Eubacteriales; Eubacteriaceae. The record is from Rfam.